RNAcentral lists this long non-coding RNA (766 nucleotides) under Vigna radiata. RNAcentral describes it as "long non-coding RNA (VRAD_LNC000887)". Lineage: Eukaryota; Viridiplantae; Streptophyta; Magnoliopsida; Fabales; Fabaceae. The record is from RNAcentral.
UAUUUUUACAUUUCAUUGUACACGUAGCUUAGCUUGCAAGGAGCAUGGGUUACUAUAAAUACGCAACUCCUCUCUUGUAAUUGGCACUUUUGAAAUAAAUGAGAAUAGUGUUUUCUGCUUCAGAAACCAUUCUCUAUUGAAAGUCAUAGGCUAGAGAGUCCAAAGACUCCCUCUAGCCACCUUCCAAGCACAAUCUCUCACUUCCAUUUUCCAUUUCCACCGUGCUUCUUUCUCAUCAUUAACGCUACAUCACCUUUCCUCCAGUAUGCUUCUGACCAGCGGCGUUCCUUAGCCACGCGUCAUUAUUCUCUUGCCAGCAGCCCGCACCUUGAUACAUCCUAAUUUUCACUUUACUCUCACUGAACACCAUCUCAUUUUCCACAUAUCAGAAACCUCCUCUGCUAGGGUUUCCUUUUCAGCGCCUCUACUCCUUUUUCUCAUCACAAAUUCACCUCCUCAUCAUCAGUAAGGCUCAUUCUCUGCACGAAUCUUCAUCCUUCUCACCAUUUUCUUCAUUUUCAACCAACUGUUUUUCCUUUUUCUCCAUUUAUUUUCAUUUUCAACAAUUGAUCUAGCAUUUUGGCUGAUUAAACACUUCUCCUACCUUGGAUCUUCCAUUUCCACCGUUUAAAACACCAUUUCCACCGAUUAAUCGGUCAGUUUAGUGUUUCCUCCCUGUUAAUAGGUGUUUCCACCGAUUAAACCUAGGUCUAGGGUUUUUCUGGUAUUCUCUCUCGGUCUAGAGGUUCCUCAACAUUUCCCGCUG